UCCAUCUUUUUCUGACUGCGUUCAGUUCAGAUGAUCUUUUAAUUCCUUCCUGCAGAGAUCUGAACUUUCCACCAUGAUUCCUGUCUGAUUCCAGCAGAGCAGCAACACAGAUGAUGGUUUAAAGACAAACUGAAGCAGAUGCAGACAGGAAGGAUUGAUGGCUGCAGUUAGUUGGUGUGGACAGCAGGUGGCGCUGCUGCAUGGCACACAGAGGGAGAGCAGCAGCUUCCUGCAGGGACACAUGAAGAGCAGCAUGAAGCUGAGCUGGGAGACAUGAAGCUUUAACAUCUGCUGAACUCUUCAGCUCCUCUUUCCCUCAGAUCUGCCCUGAAGCAGCUUUAAGGUGGAAAACUGCUGCAGCUGGAGGAGAUUCAGCAAAACCAACAUGUUGCUUUGCUUUCUGUCCCAGAAGCUCCAGAGGAGGCUUGGCAGCAUGAAGGUCACCCAGAGAAGAAGCAGCAGCCGUGGUUCUGUUAUGGAUCAAGGUACCGUGGUCCAUGAAAGGCUCAUUAAAACAGAACCUUAGAAACUAGAGAAUGGGCUUUUACUGCAGAAAAGUUUACAGUCCUAACAGAGUUUCAUUUAAAGACGUUUUGGUUCCAGGCGGUUCUGUAGGAGUCGGACCCUGGAGCGGGCUCAGGAACCCGACUGCAGGUUGAGGUUGUUCAGUAGAAUCCAGUUUCUACCAGUGAGUUCUGUGGUGCUGCUCGGUUGGCCUUAAACUUUCUAAUCUCUAAAACUUAACAAGGAGGCAAAGAAUCAGCCAGUGCCAGUCCACAUCCUCAGACUCAACUGUGGUUAAUCCAUCAGAGCUCACACCCCGUCCUGUGUCCACUGUCCCCUCCAUGACUGCAACCACAGUUGAUCUACCUGCAUCCUCCACCACAACGUCCACUUCUCACAGCAGAUCAUCAUCAGCUCCACCAGAUGACCCAGCUUAGUGACCUUCUUUUCUCUCUGAUUGAGCUGGUGAUCAGAGGAACCUGCCUAUCAAGGAGAACUUUUCAUUCCUUUAAAAGGUAUGAUGGACGAAGUUUCCAUUAUCAUUACACCCACAGACAAUUAGUCAAUGAAGAAAAAGUUAAGCGUAGUUAGCU
Long non-coding RNA from Fundulus heteroclitus (mummichog), 1097 nucleotides. RefSeq lists it as uncharacterized. The record is from RefSeq and is a predicted model, not a curated record. Lineage: Eukaryota; Metazoa; Chordata; Actinopteri; Cyprinodontiformes; Fundulidae. The transcript has 3 exons.